Molecule: ribosomal RNA, 468 nt
Filed under: uncultured bacterium
Lineage: Bacteria
Description: partial 16S ribosomal RNA
Rfam family: Bacterial small subunit ribosomal RNA
Source: RNAcentral
GACGAACGCUGGCGGCGUGCUUAACACAUGCAAGUCGAACGGAAAGGCCCUGCUUUUGUGGGGUGCUCGAGUGGCGAACGGGUGAGUAACACGGGAGUAACCUGCCCUUGACUUUGGGAUAACUUCAGGAAACUGGGGCUAAUACCGGAUAGGAGCUCCUGCUGCAUGGUGUGGGUUGGAAAGUUUCGGCGGUUGGGGAUGGACUCGCGGCUUAUCAGCUUGUUGGUGGGGUAGUGGCUUACCAAGGCUUUGACGGGUAGCCGGCCUGAGAGGGUGACCGGCCACAUUGCGCCUGAGAUACGGCCCAGACUCCUACGGGAGGCAGCAGUGGGGAAUAUUGCACAAUGGGCGGAAGCCUGAUGCAGCAACGCCGCGUGCGGGAUGACGGCCUUCGGGUUGUAAACCGCUUUCGCCUGUGACGAAGCGUGAGUGACGGUAAUGGGUAAAGAAGCACCGGCUAACUACGUG